CGCACGGGUGAGUAAUGCUUCGGAAUCUACCUUAUGGUGGGGAAUAACUAGCCGAAAGGUUAGCUAAUACCGCAUACGUCCUACGGGAGAAAGCAGGGGAUCGUAAGACCUUGCGCCAAAAGAUGAGCCGAAGUCGGAUUAGCUAGUUGGUAGGGUAACGGCCUACCAAGGCGACGAUCCGUAGCUGGUCUGAGAGGACGACCAGCCACACUGGGACUGAGACACGGCCCAG
RNAcentral lists this ribosomal RNA (232 nucleotides) under uncultured bacterium. Its description in RNAcentral is "partial 16S ribosomal RNA". It matches the Rfam family "Bacterial small subunit ribosomal RNA", at positions 99 to 334 of the family's 1533-position model. The record is from RNAcentral.